Molecule: ribosomal RNA, 253 nt
Filed under: uncultured bacterium
Lineage: Bacteria
Description: partial 16S ribosomal RNA
Rfam family: Bacterial small subunit ribosomal RNA
Source: RNAcentral
UACGAAGGGGGCUAGCGUUGCUCGGAAUCACUGGGCGUAAAGGGUGCGUAGGCGGGUCUUUAAGUCAGAGGUGAAAUCCUGGAGCUCAACUCCAGAACUGCCUUUGAUACUGAGGAUCUUGAGUUCGGGAGAGGUGAGUGGAACUGCGAGUGUAGAGGUGAAAUUCGUAGAUAUUCGCAAGAACACCAGUGGCGAAGGCGGCUCACUGGCCCGAUACUGACGCUGAGGAGCGAAAGCGUGGGGAGCGAACAGG